This 305-nucleotide ribosomal RNA is filed under the name uncultured bacterium. RNAcentral's name for it is "bacterial SSU rRNA". It matches the Rfam family "Bacterial small subunit ribosomal RNA", at positions 334 to 655 of the family's 1533-position model. The record is from RNAcentral.
UAGUCCUACGGGGCGCAGCAGUGGGGGAUAUUGCACAAUGGGGGAAACCCUGAUGCAGCGACGCCGCGUGAGUGAAGAAGUAUUUCGGUACGUAAAGCUCUAUCAGCAGGGAAGAUAAAAGACUGUACCUAUAGAAUAAGCUCCGGCUAACUACGUGCCAGCAGCCGCGGUAAUACGUAGGGAGCAAGCGUUAUCCGGAUUUAUUGGGUGUAAAGGGUGCGUAGACGGGCUAACAAGUUAGUUGUGAAAUCCCUCGGCUCAACUGAGGAACUGCAACUAAAACUAUUAGUCUUGAGUGCGGGAGA